AAGUCGUAACAAGGUUUCCGUAGGUGAACCUGCGGAAGGAUCAUUAACACAUUUUGAUUCAAAAACUAUUUGUUUUCUUCUUUUUAGGUGGUAAGAUUUUUCUUGCAUCUAAGAGGAGAAAGCAAAUUAACCCCCUUUCUAUGAUGAAAACAUUACAAAACGGGAUAAUGGACUUGUCAAGUUCUUUUUUUUUAAAAAAAAUUUGACUUUUCCGUUUCAACCGUUUUUUUCCUUUACCCAAUUUUUUUCACCCCUUUUACAACAUGCCAUAGACUGAAACAAAAAACCUUUGCAUUCUAGAAUCUCUAGAAUCUUAAAAAACUAAGAAAACAACUCUUAGCAACGGAUAUCUAGGUUCUC
Molecule: unclassified non-coding RNA, 360 nt
Filed under: fungal sp.
Lineage: Eukaryota; Fungi
Description: partial internal transcribed spacer region
Rfam family: Eukaryotic small subunit ribosomal RNA (bases 1-46)
Source: RNAcentral